CCUACGGGUGGCAGCAGUCGAGAAUCAUUCACAAUGGGGGAAACCCUGAUGGUGCGACGCCGCGUGGGGGAAUGAAGGUCUUCGGAUUGUAAACCCCUGUCAUGUGGGAGCAAAUUAAAAAGAUAGUACCACAAGAGGAAGAGACGGCUAACUCUGUGCCAGCCGCCGCGGUAAUACCGAGGUCUCAAGCGUUGUUCGGAAUCACUGGGCGUAAAGCGUGCGUAGGCUGUUUCGUAAGUCGUGUGUGAAAGGCGAGGUCUCAACCCGCGGACGGCACAUGAUACUGCGAGACUAGAGUAAUGGAGGGGGAAGCGGAAUUCUAGGUGUAGCAGUGAAAUGCGUAGAUAUCGAGAGGAACACUCGUGGCGAAGGCGGGUUCCUGGACAUUAACUGACGCUGAGGCACGAAGGCCAGGGGAGCGAAAGGGAUUAGAUACCCUGGUAGUC
This 446-nucleotide ribosomal RNA is filed under the name uncultured bacterium. RNAcentral's name for it is "partial 16S ribosomal RNA". It matches the Rfam family "Bacterial small subunit ribosomal RNA", at positions 338 to 795 of the family's 1533-position model. The record is from RNAcentral.